GUGCCAGCCGCCGCGGUAAUACUGGCAGCUCAAGUGAUGUCCCAUAUUAUUGGGCCUAAAGCGUCCGUAGCUGGCCGACCAAGUCUCCCGGGAAAUCCACCCGCCCAACGGGUGGGCGUCCGGUAGAAACUGGCCGGCUUGGAACCGGAAGGCUCAGAGAGUACGUCCGGGGUAGGAGUGAAAUCCCGAGAUCCUCGACGGACCGCCGGUGGCGAAAGCGCCUCGGGAAGAUGGAUCCGACGGUCAGGGACGAAAGCUUGGGUCUCGAACCGGAUUAGAAACCCGAGUAGUCC
Molecule: ribosomal RNA, 293 nt
Filed under: uncultured bacterium
Lineage: Bacteria
Description: partial 16S ribosomal RNA
Rfam family: Archaeal small subunit ribosomal RNA
Source: RNAcentral